GUGUCAGCAGCCGCGGUAAUACGUAGGUGGCAAGCGUUGUCCGGAUUUACUGGGCGUAAAGGGUAUGCAGGCGGAUAUUUAAGUAGGAAGUGAAAGGCUCGAGCUCAACUCGGACACUGCUUCCUAUACUGGAUAUCUUGAGUGCCGGAGAGGAAAGCGGAACGACACGUGUAGCGGUGAAAUGCGUUGAUAUGUGUCGGAACACCAAUGGCGAAGGCAGCUUUCUGGACGGAGCCGCAAGGCUUAAAACUGACGCUCAGAUACGAAAGCGUGGGUAGCGAACAGGAUUAGAUACCCUGGUAGUCCACGCCCUAAACGAUGUUCACUAGGUGUCGGGGGGUAACCUCCGGUGCCGUAGCUAACGCAUUAAGUGAACCGCCUGGGGACUACGACCGCAAGGUUGAA
This 405-nucleotide ribosomal RNA is filed under the name uncultured bacterium. RNAcentral describes it as "bacterial SSU rRNA". It matches the Rfam family "Bacterial small subunit ribosomal RNA", at positions 505 to 898 of the family's 1533-position model. The record is from RNAcentral.